GAUGAACGCUGGCGGCGUGCCUAAUACAUGCAAGUCGAGCGAACGGACGAGAAGCUUGCUUCUCUGAUGUUAGCGGCGGACGGGUGAGUAACACGUGGAUAACCUACCUAUAAGACUGGGAUAACUUCGGGAAACCGGAGCUAAUACCGGAUAAUAUUUUGAACCGCAUGGUUCAAAAGUGAAAGACGGUCUUGCUGUCACUUAUAGAUGGAUCCGCGCUGCAUUAGCUAGUUGGUAAGGUAACGGCUUACCAAGGCAACGAUGCAUAGCCGACCUGAGAGGGUGGUCGGCCACACUGGAGCUGAGACACGGUCCAGACUCCUACGGGAGGCAGCAGUAGGGAAUCUUCCGCAAUGGGCGAAAGCCUGACGGAGCAACGCCGCGUGAGUGAUGAAGGUCUUCGGAUCGUAAAACUCUGUUAUUAGGGAAGAACAUAUGUGUAAGUAACUGUGCACAUCUUGACGGUACCUAAUCAGAAAGCCACGGCUAACUACGUG
RNAcentral lists this ribosomal RNA (497 nucleotides) under uncultured bacterium. RNAcentral's name for it is "partial 16S ribosomal RNA". It matches the Rfam family "Bacterial small subunit ribosomal RNA", at positions 28 to 507 of the family's 1533-position model. The record is from RNAcentral.